This 587-nucleotide ribosomal RNA is filed under the name Aspergillus aureolus. RNAcentral's name for it is "eukaryotic LSU rRNA". It matches the Rfam family "Eukaryotic large subunit ribosomal RNA", at positions 1 to 591 of the family's 3401-position model. Lineage: Eukaryota; Fungi; Ascomycota; Eurotiomycetes; Eurotiales; Aspergillaceae. The record is from RNAcentral.
UUGACCUCGGAUCAGGUAGGGAUACCCGCUGAACUUAAGCAUAUCAAUAAGCGGAGGAAAAGAAACCAACAGGGAUUGCCUCAGUAACGGCGAGUGAAGCGGCAAGAGCUCAAAUUUGAAAGCUGGCCCCUUCGGGGUCCGCGUUGUAAUUUGCAGAGGAUGCUUCGGGUGCAGCCCCCGUCUAAGUGCCCUGGAACGGGCCGUCAUAGAGGGUGAGAAUCCCGUCUGGGACGGGGUGUCUGCGUCCGUGUGAAGCUCCUUCGAAGAGUCGAGUUGUUUGGGAAUGCAGCUCUAAAUGGGUGGUAAAUUUCAUCUAAAGCUAAAUACUGGCCGGAGACCGAUAGCGCACAAGUAGAGUGAUCGAAAGAUGAAAAGCACUUUGAAAAGAGAGUUAAACAGCACGUGAAAUUGUUGAAAGGGAAGCGUUUGCGACCAGACUCGCUCGCGGGGUUCAGCCGGCAUUCGUGCCGGUGUACUUCCCCGUGGGCGGGCCAGCGUCGGUUUGGGCGGCCGGUCAAAGGCCCUCGGAAUGUAUCACCUCUCGGGGUUGUCUUAUAGCCGAGGGUGCAAUGCGGCCUGCCCGGACC